Molecule: long non-coding RNA, 903 nt
Filed under: Mus musculus (house mouse)
Lineage: Eukaryota; Metazoa; Chordata; Mammalia; Rodentia; Muridae
Description: RIKEN cDNA 4930500H12 gene
Source: RNAcentral
AGGAGAGACCAUUGGUGAAGGUGCAGCCUCAGUAGCUGUUGAAGGCCAGAUAGACUGAAGGAGUCAUGAAGAGAAACCGAGGCUCGGCAUCAUGAAUAAAUCCUAGGACAUUGGUAAAAGCACAGCCCAGUUGCAGUCAAAGAUCCCAGCAUUGUGGAGAUGCCAGUACCUUGGCAUGAUCACCAAGAGCAGCAGUGGCCAUAGAAUGGCGCCUACCCGAGCUUAGAGGACAAGCUGUGUGUGCUACAGAGGAGCUGGAGAAGUGGCCCAAGCCCCUUGUAGGAGGCCAGAAGAUGGUUAGUGAAUCCCAGGUGGCGCCACCUCUGUUUGUAAACUCCAAUCCAGAGCUGUAGUUGUUUCUCCUUUUGGCCCUACACUGUAGAACCAAAGCCGUGCCCAACAGAAGUAGCCUCACCCUGAGUGUCUGAAGCCAGUAUACACGUGAUGCCAUUGCUCCUUGGAUGUCUGCUCACCUCUUCUCAAGCAGAACCUAUAAGGAGCGGAUCAGUGAUGCCUCUGAGCCACACGUAGACAAUAUGGAUUUCAGAUAAAGCACGCUUCUGACUAGAGAAUGAUUAAAAGGAUGCCGUCUGUUUGCAGGAAAAACUUGAUCAUCGAGAUCCAUGAUAAUGACAUCUCAAGAACCAAAAGCUAGCUGAGAGAUUCUGAGACAAAGGAGGAGGAACAGUCUCUCUUCUUGCUAUAUCAUAGAACCUCAGUGAGGAACGUGAUCCAGCUCAGGAUAGCUCAUCUUGGCACUCCUCACUGCAACGGGGGCCUCGUCCUGGUCUAUCAGUCUAUCACUUUUUCAUGACAAAUGGGUCCCUUCACAAACUCACUAUGACCUAAACCCAUAGUAUAUCCCACAGAGUAAUUAUCAAUAAAUUUCCACAUUUAAAAAAA